Molecule: RNA transcript, 6657 nt
Organism: Xyrauchen texanus (razorback sucker)
Lineage: Eukaryota; Metazoa; Chordata; Actinopteri; Cypriniformes; Catostomidae
Gene: c42h11orf65
Gene name: chromosome 42 C11orf65 homolog
Exons: 8
Source: RefSeq, a predicted model, not a curated record
GUCUGUCUCACUAUGCGCGAUUUGUUUCCUCCGGAGAAAUGUACAGUUACGCUGUCUGAGAGUACUUAAAGGUACAGUGAUUGCCCGCAGGGAAUAAGGGGAGGUAACCAAACUAGCUGAGACAGCUACAAUCUAUAAUGACAACUCAUGAACUGAAGUUGCAGCGCUCAACUUGUCAAAGCGGAGAGGCAGCCAGCGUGCCUUGCGAUGUUGUCUCAAAUCGCGAGAGAUUUAACACACAUACUGACAAAACACGUUUUCAGAAUGUAAGUGGGCUCGGGAAGUUACAUCCUGAACCAUCUGCUCAACACAUCCACAAUAAGAAGGAAUCCGAAGCUGCUGCGACUUCUUCACCGUCACUGCACAUCGCAGGCCAACAGAAAAGCAGCAGAGAUGUGCAGAUCAGGCAGAUAAUACUGCUCCAGUCUAAGAAAGACUUCAACAAGACAUCUAAGGAUCAAAAGGAAUCUGCCAGAUUCACUACCGUUAUCUAUAUCAGUCUUCCCACCAAAGGAAACAAAAAAGACACAACGGAGGACACUGAAGAAACAUUGCCAGUUGAGAUUGACAUUGAUGGAGCCAAAAAGAAAACGGCUAAUCAACACCACACAGAGCAAAGGGACAUAAUUUCACCAACCUGUAACAAAUCGUGUGGUGAAUUAUUAAAGGCUGGAGAUGGGCCAAAAGCACCCUUUGAUGAAGAUCGCAUUUCCACUCUGCAAAAUAAACAUAUACUUAACUUACCUAACCAGAGACAAGAUACAGGAAUACAGCACAACAUAAGCCUUAAUGAACAUUUGCAAACAGUCCACAGUGACACACACAAACAUUUUACUCAACCAGCUUUUGAGAUACAAACAGAAUUCAGCAAGCGCUCGAAUGCAAACAAGGAAUCUGGAGCCAGUGACCUUCAUAGAGAGGAUACUCCAACAACUCAACAGUACCACAAUAAUCUAAAAGUACUAAACCAAACAUUAUCUUUUCACACAACUCAUUCUGGAAGUACCCCUGAGCCAGAACUGAGUCUCAUCAAUCCUGCCUCUGAUAUGUUAACAUCUGCCACGACCUCAGUUCUUUCUCCACCUUGGAGUGGUCAUCUUAGAAGACCCAAACAAGGCAGCAGUGAGCUAGAGCGUGAACCCAAAAAUUGUGGACAGAAUGUCAACCCAUCUACCUUAUCCCACCAAGAUCGUCUGCAACAACAGUUUAUCACAGCUCGCAGGCAGCCUGCUGAACAUGUGUUGCAAGUAUCCAAUGACGAUUACAUGCAGUUUACUGCUGAAACCAGCAACAACUCUCCUGAUUGGCAAAAAGAGAACAAUUCCCCAAAUGUCACAACAGCAAUUCAGUCAAAAAGACGCAUUUUGAAAUGUUCCUCUGUAGACACAUACAGAGGCACGAUGUACAACAAUGCAGAAUUACACUGUUCUCCCACAUCUCUGGACACUGGUCAGGUACUCAAGUGGCCCCACUCUGAGGAACGUAGAGGGUACAGAAUGUCAAAGACUGAAGAUCAAAGCAAGCAUUUCAAAUCAUUGAGCUCCAAGCCAACAACAAGCAGCCUACUUCUCUCCUUAAGAAGAUCAAAUUUGAGAAGGUCCAAUGCUGAACCCACACAAAUGGAGUCUCAGAUAACAAAGUCUGUCACAUCCCAAACAUUGCCAAACAGGAGUGUUUUGAAGAAUGCUCAAUCAUACACCCCUUCUGUUACCCCUGAUGGCCAUUCCGUAGAAACACUUGUGUCAUACCCAUUUCCAGACAUGCAUUCAAAAACAGAGGGAAUAACAGACACAAAUCAUUUAUCUUUUUCACCCAGAAUUAAGAGGAUUGUGGCAUUAAGGACACCACAGUUGCUAAACAAAUCAGAGACAGACCAAAGGUUAAAGAGACCAGAGGGUUCUGUUGCUAGAGCUGAAGAGAAGCCAUUCCCUCCCUCCACAACCACAUCCAGCCAUCCUAGGAUUGUCAAAGCUCAGCAGCAUUCUCAUUCAGUUCUUUUGAGCAAAUAUUUCAAUACAGAGAACAGUGAUUCAGUGAAAAUAAAUACCAUUAACAAGACAAAGCUGCAUAAUCCGAACACCACAACUUCUCUCAAAGAAAAAACUAAUGUUAAAUUAGAUUAUCCUCAAACUGUUAGAAAUUUAGAAUCACAAAGCACACAAAAUAUUCCUGUCAGGAAUUCAACGAGCAUGCAAACCUUCACAGACAGUCUUAAAUUCUCACCCAGUAAAGAAAACUCUCCUGUAGAUGGAAACACCACAACAAUUGGGAGGCAGAUAUAUCUGGACUCUAAGAAACAUUCUGGCUCAAGUCAAAGUUCAAUGGACCUUUCAAGUCCUCUCUCCCCAAGUAGACCUAUCAGAGGCAUUUGUAUUCCGAGCAUCUAUUCAUACCUAAGAGAGUCAAGCCCAAAUGUAUCCACCCCUAAUUCCCCUUCCACCCCUUCUUUCCACUUACAAAGAGUUGUAACUUCUUCCUCUCCUAAACAAGAUGAAGCCAUAAUACCACAUGGAAAAUCAAGAUUUUCUUUUGACCUCAGCCCAAUCGAGCCACAUGUAAAAGCAUCAAAAAGAGGCUCUCAUGGCUCCAGUGCUCAUAAAACUCCAGCUCAAUCUCUGCCUCCUGAUUUUGGAAGAAGAUCAGUACCCUGUCUCAGCAUGUCUCCAUAUUCUACCUUAAUCUCCUCAAGGCCUGCCCUCAACAGCACUUUACAAGCACUGUCCUCUCCACCCAAACGACAUGAUCGAUCUACAUCUGAUAUUGCAACCAUACGUCUUGACCCUAAAAAAGGUGACCAAAUCUCUUCUCCCUCCAUAUACACAAGCAUGACAAGGAGACUAAAGGAACAGGUAACACCACCUGAUAAAGAACAGAGAACAGAAAAUUCAGUUCAUGCUUAUACUUGUGCCCUAGAUAAUCACAGACCUGUCCAGCCAUGCCUCUCACAAACUGCACCUGUUGCAAGUUUUGUCUCGGAAAGCCCAAGUAUAACCCCACACCCAAGGCAGCAACAAAAAAAUUAUGGCUUGAUGGCACUUCAGUUUGAUAAGGCUAAUGUUUAUCCCAAGUGCAGGAGUCAGAAAGAGACAUAUUUACUGUCUAAUAAACUCACAGCUAAAAGUGAGACCCCACUUACAGCCAAGAAGGAGACUACCGCUUUGCAUAUACAUGAGAGAUUGCAGGAAAUGCAGAGCCCCAAUUCAAAGAGAGCACUCUUUGCAUUACGGGUUAAGAAAGACAUUGUCACUUUAGAUCCCAUGACAGAGAAAGAAGUUGUUCCCACUCAGUAUUUAAAAACCAAAAGAAAUUCACCUGUAUUUAAAACAAGCAGUAGGAUUGACCAGAUGUUAAACCGCUUGAAAAUGACAUUUAGUGUCAAACGUUCAGAAAGCACUCUUGAAACAGUCAUAAAUAAAAGUGGGACUGCCACUCAGCAACCCUCUCACACUGAAACUUGGGGAAAAAACAUGAGAGUGGAGAAAUUAUCUUCUGGGAUCCAUUGGGAGUCCCCCAAUACAUCUUUGGUCACUGAUAAAGCAUAUUUGCCCUCUCUUGAGUCACUGUCACCAUUAACAUUAAAGAAAUCUGAGAAUGCACUAAAUGUGAACAAGCAAAACAGGAGUAAGGAUGACAAAAACUGUUCUGGGAUCCAAUGGGAGCCCCCCACCUCAUCUUUGAGGACUGAUAAAGCACCUUGUCCCUCUUCUGAAUCAUUGUCACCAGUAACAUUAAAGAAAUCUGAUAAUACACUAAAUGUGGAUCAGCAAAAUAGGUUUAAGGAUGAAAAAAAGUGUUCUCAGAGUCAGUGGGAGCACUCCAACUCAUCUUUGACCAUGGAUGAAACAUUACCCUUUUUGGAUUACAUGUCACUAUUAAAACUAUCACAAAAGAGGUGUAGUGAUGAAAAUGGAAACCAGUCUAGCAGCAGCAGCUAUAGUCCAUGCAUGCUAAAGCCCCAUGGUAUGAACCGUUCUGCCUCCUUGCCACAUUACAAAAAGUCCUCGGUUGGUCCUUCGUCACCCUUUUAUCUGUUUGAUUUUGAUUCAGAAGACAUUCAGAAUGACAAUGUGUUUUAUAGUCCAGUGAGCAAAAAAAGGAAUUUGCUUUGUGAGUAUGACAACAUCUCUCAGCUGAGCACUACCAAGAGGACUGAACAGCAAAACCUCACGGGGUCUCGAUUGUCCUCGUCUCCUGCUGAUUUAAAGUACGGUCUGGAGAAUGGGCGGUCUUUUUCGGUCAGCAGUGUGAUUUCAAGCCGCCCAUCAGGUCCUAAAAUAAUCUCAACAAGUAGCAUCAGUGACCUUUCAAGUUUAGAUGACUUUGACAGUAAGGGGAGCUAUUCAAAAUCUUACUCUCCAAUUAAUAAUAGCAAUUCCCCUAGCUAUGGUGCCAAAUAUGUUACCGGUAUCCAAACCCAACCUGGAUGUACAUUGUCAGAUGAUCAUUUUUGGUAUCCAGAUAAACAGGAAAUCUCGUCCGGCUUUUGGGAUGAUGCAGACCCAACACCACCUCCCUCACCACCUUUUUCCCCUUCAUCUCGUCGCAUGUCCCAGGCACCCGCUAACUCUUCCCCCAUCCAAACAACUCCAGACAAUCUAUCUCCUCGUGGAAUCCGGCCAUCAAGGAGUUACACAACCAGCUUGACUGUCUUUGAGGAGUCUAGUUCUGACACCACAACUGAUGAUGAAUACUACCUUGAUGAUGGUGAUGAGGAAGGAACAGAACUUUAGUGAAAAGUAUUAUGCGUUCUAAAUGUUCAGUUUCAUCACUUUUGUAGUUUGGAUAUAUUUUACAUUUACAUUUAUGCAUUUGGCAGAUGCUUUUAUCCAAAGCGAUUACAGUGCACUUAUUACAGGGACAAUCCCCCCGGAGCAACCUGGAGUUAAGUGCCUUGCUCAAGGACACAAUGGUGGUGGCUGUGGGGAUCAAACCAGCACCCUUAUGAUUAACAGUUUAGUGCUUUAGCCCACUAUGCCACCACCACUCCGGAUAUAUAUACUGGAUGUUUCAAAAUUGGCUAUAUUCUGUGCAAUGGGAUUUAUAUGGCAAAUCUAUUAAAACCACAGAAACAUUAGUUCUCAGUCAGACCAAACUUAAAUUACAAGAGAAUCUAGUAAUUGCAGUACAGCUCAUUUAAUAAGCUCAUAUCAUUUUUUUGAUAAUAUCUUUUCUACGUAAUACAAAACAAAAAAUAUUACUAUUAUUAGGGGCUUGUAAAAUCUCUGGUACUUGAGAAUAACAAGAUUUUAUUUAAUUAGUUAUGUAUUUACAAUGCAAAGUAAUGUUGUUUUAUGAGGUGUUUUGAUACUUACUGGAUACUGUGGCCUUGACAUUGUGAAUUCUCACGUCAUGUUCCUUUUGUAGUGGGCUGCCUCCUGUAGGUCAUAAGCUGUUUCAUACAGGUAUUUGAAAGCACAGCGUGUCAGACACAAACCAUUAUUCUUUCAGACAGACAUUCUAUACAUAGUAACUGCCAACUAAGAAACUGAACAACAAAUGUGGUUUGUGUGCGUGUGUGUAUUCUUGUAAGGUCAUUUCAAGAAUGUCUUGAUUACUAACGGGUAAUUGUCAUAUUUCUACAAAAAGACCAUAGGCUUAAUAUAUUGACUAAUAUUGAUGUUAUAUUGAAAGGAAACAACGUUAUAAAAGAAUAUUAAUGAUCAUUGCAAAAAUUGAUCACUGUGUAAAAAAAAUUAUAUAGCUAUAUUGUAAAUAAAAAGAGUAAUUUCGCAUUUAAAACGCAUUUGACCGUGACUCAAGUGAAACUGUAGAGUUAAUCACUAACACAGCAAUUAGCUGCUAUGCCUUGGUAAACUGUAUGUCCUUUGAUUACACAGAAACCGCAUUACAGCUGAUUAAGUCAGCCACAGUCUUGCGUGUUCUUCUAUAUUUAUAUUUCUUAACAUUAAAUGUAAUUAAACGCAGUACAGUGAUAUACCUCGAAAUCGCAGCCCUAUAGGCGCUCUUCUGUGUUUAUCUUUAACUAAUGCUGCAUGUGGAAGCUUGCGCAACUAAAUGGCUGUUUGAAAAUAACUUCACUCUUUUCAUUAACAAAAUAACAAAAAACUGUAUUGUUCUAUAUUUUCACAAUUUGUACUUGUUCAGAGAGACUGUGAUCAUAGAUAUCUGCUGAACCUUUGAAUGUUUUGAAUGAGUUUGUUUUGACGUUGCUCCGGAAACGACUCUUCGGCUCUGCGUGUAGUCACCCGUCCUAAUAAAGGAAUUCAGUCAUAUUUCCGACAAGCUUGAUUUUGUCAUUUUUUUUUCUGCACGGAUGUUUAUUCUUUUGUUGCACUUUUAGCCUCCUGCACUGCUGUUUUGUGUUGCUUCUAACUGGUUUAUGUCAUUGUGAACAUAUGUUCAAACACUUUGUUUACUAUUCGAUAUUCACCGGAAGCUGGAUUUGCUUCGGAUAUCAGGCAUCAGAACAUGCAUCAUAAAGAGAAGCUUUUGCUUCAAGCUUCAACAGCAGCAUAUGUGCAAGCAUGAGCAAGAAAAUGGUAGACCACACAUGCUCUUUUGACAGGAUACUGCUGUUUUCAAACACCUUAAGAAACUUGUGAGCUUCCAUAAUCAAGGGGACCCACAUCUUCUUCUCAGAUUUAUUAACCCUGCAGAGGCAAACAUUCUGGAUGCUGCUUCAGGGGUACUCGUCCG